RNAcentral lists this ribosomal RNA (253 nucleotides) under uncultured bacterium. RNAcentral describes it as "partial 16S ribosomal RNA". It matches the Rfam family "Bacterial small subunit ribosomal RNA", at positions 524 to 776 of the family's 1533-position model. The record is from RNAcentral.
UACGUAGGGGGCUAGCGUUGUCCGGAAUCAUUGGGCGUAAAGAGCGUGUAGGCGGUCCGGUAAGUCCGCUGUGAAAGUCGGGGGCUCAACCCUCGAAUGCCGGUGGAUACUGUCGGGCUAGAGUGCGGAAGAGGCGAGUGGAAUUCCUGGUGUAGCGGUGAAAUGCGCAGAUAUCAGGAAGAACACCCGUGGCGAAGGCGGCUCUCUGGGACGGUACUGACGCUGAGACGCGAAAGCGUGGGGAGCGAACAGG